Long non-coding RNA from Carya illinoinensis, 1640 nucleotides. RefSeq lists it as uncharacterized. The record is from RefSeq and is a predicted model, not a curated record. The transcript has 5 exons. Lineage: Eukaryota; Viridiplantae; Streptophyta; Magnoliopsida; Fagales; Juglandaceae.
UCUCUCUCUCUCUUCCUGCGACUGCAGUCCACUCCCCCCCGCGCGAGCUCACCCAAAGCCAGUCCCUCUCUGGUGCGACCUCACCCAGAACUAGUCCCCCCACCUUCCCCCCCCCUCCCCCGGCGGCGUAACCUUAGGGGACUCAGGGACAGGACUGACAGGGUUGGGAUUGAGAUUCCUAGAAUUGAAGUUUGGUAUAAGCAUUUAUCGGUGGAAGGGGAUGUGUAUGUUGGAAGCCGAGCGCUUCCCACUCUUCUUAAUGUCACCUUGAACACAAUUGAGAAAAUUAUUUGUUCAAAAUAUUAUAGUAAUGUUGAGGAUUCAGAGCUAAGUGCCAUCUUUGAGGUAAUUUAAGUUAGGAUCUGCUCCUUUUUUGUUUUUUUAAUGAUUUGAGAUAGUUUCUUUCUUUCUAUCAUCUUCUUCUUCGUUUAAAAAAAAAAAAAGUAAUCAAAGAAUUUAUUAGGAAUUGCAAAAGGCAUAGUGCAAGUACCCACAAAGUAUACUUGUUUCUUUCUUUGAUUUACAACAGCAACUUCACAAUUGAAUAAUGCUUUACAAAUAAAAUUCAAUGUUUUGAUUGAAACAUUGUCGAUUUCGUUACUGUGCCAAUUUUGUAUGGUUUCAUUGCCUGAAGCUGUUUUGUAUGAUUUCUUUUGGCAUCUACAGUUCUUAAGGUUUGAAUUGUUUUCAACAUGAGCUGCUUCAUCUACCCUGCACCUUCUCCAAUUAUGAAGUAAAAUUCAGUUUCUUCUGUCAUCAAAUAUAUUUAGCCUUUUAGCUUUUUUUUGUUUUUAGUUUCUAUGUGUUCCUAAUGAUCUAAUUAUUCAUUCGCUUCACCUAUAUCCAUGUUUCACAUCAGUUUCCUGUGAUUUUGUUGAAGUGGAAGACGCACAUCCUGCUUUUGUAAUGCAAAAGAGUUCAAUGCGUCAUUUUUAUUUUUUAUAACAUGAAGUAAACAUUCAUCUCUGGCUUAUAGCAUACAUUCUUACGAAUAAAGUACUAGCUGGGCUCUUGAUAUGCUAGAGACUUGGGUAAGGUUGUUGGGUGCAGAUAUUGAUAACUUUAAGAAUUGCUUAAGUUCUACAUUCUCCUCUUUUUCAUUUUCUUCCAUUUUUUAUUCCACACUAUAUGUUUUAAGUUGUAACUUUCAUUCUCAUGGUUCAGAGUAAUGGUUUGUUAUUAUAGUAUGUCAUGACUUCAUCAGCUCCUUACAUGAAUUUGGCUACAUCAGAGAUCAAGUACUCCUCAUUUUGCUAACCAUCAGUUACUCAUCCAAAGAACCUGAUGUGGAAGAUAGAAUUUUGUGGUUGGGGAGCAGUGGCUGCAGAAAAAUUCAAUAAAGGCGAUUUUAUAAUUGAGUAUAUUGGAGAAGAAAACAAAGGGGGAGUACCACUCUAGAGAUAUUUCAUAAACUUCCUCUGGAUAUGUAAAGUGAUAUUUUGCCAAGGCUUACAAAGUCCUAAUAUUUACAUUCUCAUAAACUUCCUCUGGAUAUGGAAAUGGUUAUUGUUGUUCAUUUCCUUUGUGUUAUUGUCAUUUCCUUCUCUUUUCUUUCUUCUCAGUAAAUAUAAGUGUUUAUGAUGCAAUUGUAUUUGGUUGACAAGAUUGUUACUUAUUUCUUAUGAGUUGAUACCUAGAGU